CAAUAGCGUAUAUUUAAGUUGUUGCAGUUAAAAAGCUCGUAGUUGGAUUUCGGAUGGGAUUUGCCGGUCCGUCGUUACGAUGUGCACUGGCCAGUCCUAUCUUGUUGUCGGGGACUAGCUCCUUGGAUUCACUUCCUGGGACUAGGAGCUGACGAGGUUACUUUGAGUAAAUUAGAGUGUUCAAAGCAAGCCUACGCUCUGAAUACAUUAGCAUGGAAUAACACGAUAGGACUCUGGCUUAUCUUGUUGGUCUGUGAGACCAGAGUAAUGAUUAAGAGGGACAGUCGGGGACAUUCGUAUUUCAUUGUCAGAGGUGAAAUUCUUGGAUUUAUGAAAGACGAACUUCUGCGAAGGCAUUUGUCAAGGAUGUUUNCAUUAA
This 379-nucleotide ribosomal RNA is filed under the name uncultured eukaryote. Its description in RNAcentral is "partial 18S ribosomal RNA". It matches the Rfam family "Eukaryotic small subunit ribosomal RNA", at positions 592 to 976 of the family's 1831-position model. The record is from RNAcentral.